Long non-coding RNA from Anthonomus grandis grandis, 1004 nucleotides. RefSeq lists it as uncharacterized. The transcript is spliced from 3 exons. The record is from RefSeq and is a predicted model, not a curated record. Lineage: Eukaryota; Metazoa; Arthropoda; Insecta; Coleoptera; Curculionidae.
AAAAUAAAGUCCAAUCGGGCUGGUAGAGCCAUCAAGUCAACAAGACAAGACAAAACAAAAAUGAAGAAGAAUAGGAAGAGAAGAACAAGCUUUCAAUCGACUUGAGUCAUUUUAUCAACUCUGCCCAGAUUAACCUAUAUAACCAUUGCUUUCAUAUGGACCUACAAUUUAAGGUGGACUUCGAGUCACAAGUGGACUACAUAACAAACACAAACAACUAUACCUAUGUCAGGACUUGAGAAAAAAAGAAUGUGAUACACAUGCAUACCUCGCACUACACGCAAAAUUCCACAACCCGAAGAUAAGAGAAUCCCCAGGGGCCCAUAGAGAUUGUCGGUCCAUCCCGGAAUGGGCUCCGAUACAGUGGAAGUUACUAAAAAGUAUAAUAAGCUCGAUAAAAACUCACACAAUAUAUACAAUAUACAAAAUUCUGUUUUGUUACUUUGGUAGGAAAAAUUUGUUUAGUUUCGUUACUGCUUAAAAAAUUGUUUUCAGUUGGGAAUAUUUUUUUUGGUAAAUAAAAAAAUUUUGUUUUAAAACUGUCCUUAUUGAGAUGACUGUAGUUCAGAAUUUUAUCAUGCCUAAGGAGAUGUACAAUUAGCUCUGUACAUCUAAGAAAGGGGGUCAUUAUGAUUAGCGAUUCAAUGUAAAGGUAAUAUUCUCGAUAAUCAUCGCCGACCUGCCGACUUUAAAAAAGGGUAUGAUGUACUACGAAAGAGAAGGACAAUUACGUAGAAGGCGUAAAUUUUCAGUGGCAAUUUUUUAGGUGUUGCAUGAUUGUUUGUGUAGCUUAUUAGUUUUUUAGACACACUGCAACUCGCAUGCCCUUUUACAGAGAUAAUAAGAGGGUUUGCCUUUUGUUUUCAAUUAUUGAGCGCUUGAGAUAGUAUUUUGAAAAUUUAUUUUUGCUAUAAAAGUAACGUAAUACCAAAUAAAAUAAGUAACUUAAUAUCGCUCUUCACUAACGGCAACAGCUAAGUUUUUCUAAGCCUGUAUGGAGGUGG